CGAGCGGAGAGAUUCUUCGGAAUCUUGACAGCGGCGUACGGGUGCGGAACACGUGUGCAACUUACCUUUAUCAGGGGGAUAGCCUUUCGAAAGGAAGAUUAAUACCCCAUAAUAUAUUAGAUGGCAUCAUUUGAUAUUGAAAACUCCGGAGAAUAGAGAUGGGGACGCGCAAGAUUAGAUAGUUGGUGAGGUAACGGCUCACCAAGUCAGUGAUCUUUAGGGGGCCUGAGAGGGUGAUCCCCCACACUGGUACUGAGACACGGACCAGACUCCUACGGGAGGCAGCAGUGAGGAAUAUUGGACAAUGGGUGAGAGCCUGAUCCAGCCAUCCCGCGUGAAGGAUGACGGCCCUAUGGGUUGUAAACUUCUUUUGUAUAGGGAUAAACCUUUCCACGUGUGGAAAGCUGAAGGUACUAUACGAAUAAGCACCGGCUAACUCCGUGCCAGCACCCGCGAAAAUACGGAGGGUGCAAGCGUUAUCCGGAUUUAUUGGAUUUAAAGGGUCCGUAGGCGGACUCGUAAGUCAGUGGUGAAAUCUCAUAGCUUAGCUAUGAAACUGCCAUUGAUACUGCGGGACUUGAGUAAAGUAUAGGUAACUGGAAUACAUAAUGGAGCGGUGAAAUGCAUAGAUAUUACUUAGAACGCCAAUUGCGAAGGCAGGAUACCAUGUCUUAACUGACGCUGAUGGACUAAAGCGUGCGGAGCGAACAGGAUUAGAUACCCUGAUAGUCCACGCCGUACACUGAUGCUAACUCGUUUUUGGCGUUUUCGGAUUCAGAGACUAAGCGAAAGAGAUAAGUUAGGCACCUGGUGAGUACGUUCGCCAUCAUGAAACUCAAAGGAAUUGACGGAGUGACCGCACCAGCGAUGGACUAUGUGGCUUUAUUCGAUGAUACGCGAGG
Molecule: ribosomal RNA, 902 nt
Filed under: Chryseobacterium piperi
Lineage: Bacteria; Pseudomonadati; Bacteroidota; Flavobacteriia; Flavobacteriales; Weeksellaceae
Description: bacterial SSU rRNA
Rfam family: Bacterial small subunit ribosomal RNA
Source: RNAcentral